GAAAACACAUCUGCUAUCCAAGGAUUCACUAUGAUUCUUGAGGGGUUGGCUGACUGUAUAGCUUGUUCGGGGAACAGUAUACAAGCCUUGGAGCUACGCAAAAAUGCCAUCACUGUACUUGCUUUUGUGGCC
This is a long non-coding RNA of Hibiscus syriacus, 132 nucleotides long. RefSeq lists it as uncharacterized. The record is from RefSeq and is a predicted model, not a curated record. The transcript is spliced from 3 exons. NCBI's taxonomy places the organism in Eukaryota, Viridiplantae, Streptophyta, Magnoliopsida, Malvales, Malvaceae.